RNAcentral lists this ribosomal RNA (492 nucleotides) under uncultured bacterium. RNAcentral describes it as "partial 16S ribosomal RNA". It matches the Rfam family "Bacterial small subunit ribosomal RNA", at positions 29 to 507 of the family's 1533-position model. The record is from RNAcentral.
AGUGAACGCUGGCGGUAGGCCUAACACAUGCAAGUCGAACGGCAGCACAGUAAGAGCUUGCUCUUACGGGUGGCGAGUGGCGGACGGGUGAGGAAUACAUCGGAAUCUACUUUUUCGUGGGGGAUAACGUAGGGAAACUUACGCUAAUACCGCAUACGACCUACGGGUGAAAGCAGGGGAUCUUCGGACCUUGCGCGAUUGAAUGAGCCGAUGUCGGAUUAGCUAGUUGGCGGGGUAAAGGCCCACCAAGGCGACGAUCCGUAGCUGGUCUGAGAGGAUGAUCAGCCACACUGGAACUGAGACACGGCCCAGACUCCUACGGGAGGAAGCAGUGGGGAAUAUUGGACAAUGGGGGAAAGCCUGAUCCAGCCAUACCGCGUGGGUGAAGAAGGCGUUCGGGUGGUAAAGCCCUUUUGUUGGGAAAGAAAAGCAGCAGGUUAAUACCCCGCUGUUCUGACGGUACCCAAAGAAUAAGCACCGGCUAACUUCGUG